This 843-nucleotide ribosomal RNA is filed under the name uncultured prokaryote. Its description in RNAcentral is "bacterial SSU rRNA". It matches the Rfam family "Archaeal small subunit ribosomal RNA", at positions 508 to 1350 of the family's 1478-position model. The record is from RNAcentral.
GCCUAAAGGGGCCGUAGCUUGAUAAUAGGGUCCCUUGAGAAAUCCGCCGGCUUAACUGGCGGGCGUUCAGGGGAAACUUGUUUUCUAGGGACCGGGAGAGGUGAGGGGUACUGCCGGGGUAGGAGUGAAAUCCUGUAAUCCCGGUGGGACCACCUAUGGCGAAGGCAUCUCACCAGAACGGGUCCGACAGUGAGGGACGAAAGCUGGGGGAGCAAACCGGAUUAGAUACCCGGGUAGUCCCAGCUGUAAACUAUGUGCGUUAGGUGUGUCAGUGACCACGUGUCACUGAGGUGCCGAAGGGAAACCGUGAAACGCACCGCCUGGGGAGUACGGUCGCAAGGCUGAAACUUAAAGGAAUUGGCGGGGGAGCACCACAACGGGUGGAGCCUGCGGUUUAAUCGGACUCAACGCCGGGAAUCUCACCGGAUAAGACAGCUGAAUGAUAGUCGGGAUGAAGACUCUACUUGACUAGCUGAGAGGAGGUGCAUGGCCGUCGUCAGUUCGUACUGUGAAGCAUCCUGUUUAGUCAGGCAACGAGCGAGACCCACGCGAGCAGUUGCCAGCUUGACCUUCGGGUUGAUGGGGACACUGCUCGGACCGCCUCUGCUAAAGGGGAGGAAGGACUGGGCAACGGUAGGUCAGCAUGCCCCGAAUUAUCCGGGCUACACGCGGGCUACAAUGGACAGGACAAUGAGUUUCGACACCGAGAGGUGAGGAUAAUCUUCUAACCCUGUCCCAAGUUCGGAUUGCGGGUUGUAACUCACCCGCAUGAAGCUGGAAUCCGUAGUAAUCGCGUUUCAACAUACCGCGGUGAAUGUGUCCCUGCUCCUUGCACUCACCGCC